This 302-nucleotide ribosomal RNA is filed under the name uncultured bacterium. RNAcentral's name for it is "partial 16S ribosomal RNA". It matches the Rfam family "Bacterial small subunit ribosomal RNA", at positions 508 to 807 of the family's 1533-position model. The record is from RNAcentral.
GCAGCAGCCGCGGGAAUACGGAGGGUGCAAGCGUUAAUCGGAAUUACUGGGCGUAAAGCGCACGCAGGCGGUCUGACAAGUCAGAUGUGAAAUCCCCGGGCUUAACCUGGGAACUGCAUUUGAAACUGUCAGGCUGGAGUCUUGUAGAGGGGGGUGGAAUUCCAGGUGUAGCGGUGAAAUGCGUAGAGAUCUGGAGGAAUACCGGUGGCGAAGGCGGCCCCCUGGACAAAGACUGACGCUCAGGUGCGAAAGCGUGGGGAGCAAACAGGAUUAGAUACCCGUGUAGUCCCUGUCUCUUAUAC